CAAACAUGAGUGUGAUCUGCGUCCUCAUCUGGACUCUCCUCUGCUGCUGCUUCACAGAGUCCAGAGGACAGGUCACAGUGACUCAGCCUGGAGCAGUGAGCUCCAAUGUGGGAGGAUCUGUCUCCAUCUCAUGUACAACCAGUCAGGAUGUUCAUAACAACAACUGUUUAGCCUGGUAUCAACAGAAAGAUGGAGAAACUCCUAAACUACUCUUUCAUUAUGUUGGCAGCAGAGUAUCAGGGACUCCAAGUCGUUUUUCAGAUGGUGGAUCAAACUCUGAUUUUACUCUGACCAUCAGUGGAGUUCAGGCUGAAGAUGCAGCAGUUUAUUACUGUCAGAGUUUUCAUGUCAUCAACAGUCAGUAUGUGUUCACACAGUGAAAAACAGUUGUACAAAAACCUCCCUCAUUCAGGCUGAACAGAAACUGAACUGACUGCUGCAGCUGGAAGAUGCUGCCGACACUGAUACAGUUCACUGAACAUCCAUUCUAACAAACAC
Non-coding RNA from Oryzias melastigma (Indian medaka), 498 nucleotides. The record is from the annotation of a RefSeq genome assembly. Lineage: Eukaryota; Metazoa; Chordata; Actinopteri; Beloniformes; Adrianichthyidae.